RNAcentral lists this long non-coding RNA (1100 nucleotides) under Coturnix japonica (Japanese quail). RNAcentral describes it as "lncRNA (ENSCJPG00005016463.1)". Lineage: Eukaryota; Metazoa; Chordata; Aves; Galliformes; Phasianidae. The record is from RNAcentral.
GGUUGGGUGCAAUGAUCUCUGGAGGUUCCUUCCAACCCUUAUGAUUCUGUAAACCCUCAGCGCAAGAUAGUCUGUCCUAGAGAAAAGCAGAAAGUAAAUUUUUUUAUUUGUUUUUGUCUUUUUAACCUUUUCCAGAUGGAUUCUUUUAGUGUUUUGUUUUUGGUCUUUUUAUGAAUUAAGAAGAAUUAGAAAUUUUCACUAAUUGGGAUCAGAGGGAUAAAGAAGAAAGAUGUAUAAAAGGAGGAAGAAAAUGGAUCUAUGGAUUGAACUUGUUUUAUGCUUAACAUUUUAGAAAAUCCAUAAAAUAAUCAAUUCUGAGUACAUAUGAAGCACAUUUUGAAACUGAGGAUUUUGCAUCUACGCGUCAUACAAAAAGCUGCCUGUUGAGUUUACAGGCAUAUUUUAUUCUUUAUUUGCUGCUGUUUCUGAGACAUCCAAGUUGGGCCUGCCAUGUAUUAGAGCUGUUUCUGUGGCUACUGCCUGAUCCUCACCUACUGUAUGUGACUAACUAGCUCCACCUGAGUGGAGAUAAACUACUGGAAUUCUUAUUACUGCACUGUGACAAAAUAGUUUAAAUCACAGCCUUCAAGUAACUGUAGAAAACAACUGUUUAUACAAGGUAUUUUCUCCUGCUUAACAUAAUACCAUAUACUAUUUGUUACCAGUUUCAAAUUUCACAUUAUUUUUUGGAAAGUGGUAAACAAGUGGUAAAUGCUAAUUUAUCUGGAAAAAAAGAAAUGGACAAAAAUUUGAUUUGUGAAAGAAAGAGAGGAACUCUGGAGUGAUGUGGAUUGAUUUUUAGUGGAGGAGGAGUGAAUUGAAUGAUAAAACUGAAUUUGUUUGCUAUCAUUAUACAUGUGGCAUAAAUACCCUGUGAGGCUGCGUAUAAUCAAAUUGUAGGGAGAAAUUGGGUGGGAUAAAUGUUGAGAGGACAUUCAUUAGUUUAAGAAGGUCUGGCUGGAAGCGUAAAAGGAACUGACAUGGAAUGGGGAGCUAUGAUAAUGCACAUGAAGAAAUCCAAUGAAUACUAAGAAGAGUGUAGUGUGGAGAAAAUAGCUGGAGAAAACCAAGGCAGGUGUUUAUUUCUGACAAAAUUUUGU